CAUGCUUUAUGGAUAUAUGAGACCGAAUAUGCAAUUCUAUUUACCCACUUUAAAUUGGGUAUCUGUUUCCAUUCUUUUCCCACUAGGAUCAGAAAUCAUGUAUUUUCCAUAUCCAUAUGUUUCCGAAAUAGUGUACUAGAGAAAAGAAGUGCUUCGAAUCAUUGUGUGAUGCCAUGGAUCAUCACAAUAAUAACAAGUGACUUGCGCAUCGUCAGUGCAAUCGGUAGCCACCCGACUCUUGUGAUCCACAGCUCCAGGAGCAGAAGCAGAACUACCCACUAG
This 282-nucleotide ribosomal RNA is filed under the name Triticum aestivum (bread wheat). Its description in RNAcentral is "partial small subunit ribosomal RNA". Lineage: Eukaryota; Viridiplantae; Streptophyta; Magnoliopsida; Poales; Poaceae. The record is from RNAcentral.